This 75-nucleotide transfer RNA is filed under the name Candidatus Microgenomates bacterium. RNAcentral's name for it is "tRNA-Met". It matches the Rfam family "tRNA". Rfam says of the family: Transfer RNA (tRNA) molecules are approximately 80 nucleotides in length. Lineage: Bacteria; Candidatus Microgenomatota. The record is from RNAcentral.
GCCAACGUAGCUCAGUGGUAGAGCAAUCGUUUCAUAAGCGAUCGGUCGCAGGUUCGAUCCCUGCCGUUGGCACCC